GGCUUCGUGGUCGAGUGGUAAAAACACUUGCCUCUCAUGCAAUCCCGGGUUCAAUCCCCAGUCGAGGAGCUG
Molecule: non-coding RNA, 72 nt
Organism: Rhamnusium bicolor
Lineage: Eukaryota; Metazoa; Arthropoda; Insecta; Coleoptera; Cerambycidae
Source: the annotation of a GenBank genome assembly